UACAGAGGGGGCAAGCGUUGUUCGGAAUUACUGGGCGUAAAGGGCGCGUAGGCGGCCUUCUAAGUCAGACGUGAAAUCCCUCGGCUCAACCGGGGAACUGCGUCUGAGACUGGAAGGCUUGAAUUCGGGAGAGGGAUGUGGAAUUCCAGGUGUAGCGGUGAAAUGCGUAGAUAUCUGGAGGAACACCGGUGGCGAAGGCGGCAUCCUGGACCGAGAUUGACGCUGAGGCGCGAAAGCCAGGGGAGCAAACGGG
This 253-nucleotide ribosomal RNA is filed under the name uncultured bacterium. Its description in RNAcentral is "partial 16S ribosomal RNA". It matches the Rfam family "Bacterial small subunit ribosomal RNA", at positions 524 to 776 of the family's 1533-position model. The record is from RNAcentral.